UGGAGUAAUGGGCCGAGGACUAGGACGGGGUUGACUACUAUGAGGUCAACGUUGUGGUCUGUUGCUGUCUUCCAUGCUACUUGCUCUGCUACCGUUUUCGCGUAGCAGUACCAAUUCUGCAAAUAUAUCGUUACCGAAUUUUGAUCACUCCAGUAAGACUCAUCAACAACUGCAUCAGGAUCGCGAUUUGGGUCCAUAUACACCGCACCAAUUGAUGAUGUGAACACGACUCGGCGAACUCCAGCUUCAGCAGCAGCACAAAUAACGUUCUUGGUGCCCGUGACCGCUGGCUCUAUCAUUUUCUCCUGCAUAUGAAAUUAGCUCAUGUAAUCCAACUCACAAACGGGAUCGUCAGUGACCGGAGAUGCAGUGUGGAAGACGCCGGAGCAUCCGUUGAUGGCGGAGUAGAGACUGGCGUGGUCGAGGAGGUCGGCUUUCAGGAGGAUGAGUCUCUCCGCAGCUCCUUCUAGUGCUCUUAGGUGAGAGUUCUUUGGAUCAUCUUUUUCAAAUGAGGGGGGGAAAAAGUUAAGAUUUUAGCAUUAUUAAAGAAACAAAAUUUUCAAGAUUACCAAGUGUAUUGGUAUUGUGUCCGACAACAAAGAAUUUGUGUGAACCAGAAGUAUUAUGUUUUUGGAUAUCAAUCUUUUAAAUCUUUCAUGUUU
Molecule: long non-coding RNA, 662 nt
Organism: Asparagus officinalis (garden asparagus)
Lineage: Eukaryota; Viridiplantae; Streptophyta; Magnoliopsida; Asparagales; Asparagaceae
Exons: 3
Source: RefSeq, a predicted model, not a curated record